AACCGACACAGGUAGGCGAGAAGAGAAUUCUAAGGCGCGCGGAAGAACUCUCGUUAAGGAACUCGGCAAAAUGACCCCGUAACUUCGGGAGAAGGGGUGCCCCGGUAGUGUGAAUAGCACGAGGGGGCCGCAGUGAAAAGGCCCAAGCGACUGUUUAGCAAAAACACAGGUCUGUGCGAAGCCGUAAGGCGAAGUAUACGGGCUGACGCCUGCCCGGUGCUGGAAGGUUAAGGGGAGCGGUUAGGAGCAAUCCGAAGCUGUGAACCGAAGCCCCAGUAAACGGCGGCCGUAACUAUAACGGUCCUAAG
This 308-nucleotide ribosomal RNA is filed under the name Bacillus coniferum. RNAcentral's name for it is "bacterial LSU rRNA". It matches the Rfam family "Bacterial large subunit ribosomal RNA", at positions 1652 to 1955 of the family's 2925-position model. The record is from RNAcentral. Lineage: Bacteria; Bacillati; Bacillota; Bacilli; Caryophanales; Bacillaceae.